AGCGCAGCCCACCCUGCACAGGAAGGAAGCGGAGGGGAGGCGAUUCUGGAGAAGUUAAAGGGCUCACCUUUGGACGCCGGGCCAGCAAGGCCAGACACCAAACACCCACCUCCGGGAGGAACCAGCAGAGCCGAAACCGGCUCUCCCCGCCUUUCCGAUAGGGCGGAGGGAGGUGAGAGAAGGGAGCGCGCGCGAGGGGUUCAGGAGCCAGGAAGCCGCACUCCCCUCCCGCAGGGCCGGCCGCCCGGGGCCGAAGCGGCCGACGCUCAGACUGCAGAAAGCGGAACAAUCUCCCAGGCCCUGGCGGCAGCAAACGGGAGCCCACUCCGCUCGCCGCCACCUCCUCCCGACCCCCGGACGUCCCCGAAUGAGUUCCCGGCCGCAACCGCAGCUCGGGCCGCGGCGCCUGCGCCAGGGUUGCGCGCUCCGGCUCGGCGCGGCUCCACCUGCGCGUCGCCUUCCCUCGCAGCCCCCGGCCCCUGCCGGGAGAGGUGCGCACCAACCUUGGGGUGCAGCUCGGCCGCCAAGCCACGGCUUAUGCUGAGGCCGGAGGUGGCGGCAUCACCCGCGGCGGGCGGCGGCUGCACCGGGACGCGCCGGGGCGGCGAAGGCGCGCUGCACCCUGGACCCUGCUCCCGCGGCCCCGCCCGCGGCUGCCACCUCGAAGCGCGGCGGAGGAGCCGGGGCACCACGGGCGGCGGCAGCGGCAGCGGCAGCAGCGGCGACGGGAGCAGCAGCACAUGACUCUGUAACGAGGGGAAUUAGACAAAGCGUAACAUGGACUCCGGGCCCGUGCAGGCGCUGCAGCUCUGGGACCAACCGCAGCCGGCGAGUGCCGCGACUGGCCCGGCCGCAGCCAAUGGGGCGGGCCCGGGCCUCCAUGUGAUUGCGAGCGCUUUCUCCGGUGGCCCUGCAGCGCCUGACCGGACGGGGUCUGUGUGGCGAGGGAGGGGACCCGGGGUUGGAGACUGGCGGCGAGCGACUGCUAGAUGCGGAGCAGGUGCUUGGGAGGGGAAGAACGGCAGCCUACAUAACCAUCGCCGUAAUGCUCUCGCAAGCGUCCACCUGGGCAGGGCUCGGUGCCGGGCAGGCGCAGCUGCCAGUUAGCUGCGAGGCAUGGUCAGGAGCCUUCACCCGUCCUGGGCGAAGGAGGCUGUCCCGUCGACUAAAACUCUGAUAUUAAGACUUGGCGCUGGGGGUGGGGAGUUGAAUUACGUUAAAAAGUCACUUAAGUGCCUUCCAACUCUAAGGAGAAGUACUUAUCUGAGCUUUGGGGCACACACAACUACUACUUGGCAUGGAGAGUUUCUCAGCUUCAUGUGUUCCGUCUGUUAUUGAAGCUGUAUUGGAAAGUCGGUUCUUGUUUUUAUCUGAGCCCGCCGUUUUCAUCCCAUUCUUUUCGUCAAAAAUAUGUUACAUCUGAAAGAGGCAGAUGAAAAGAUUAUUCUAUGCUAAGAGGGUUUUGCAGCCCGAUAAUGUCACCGUUUUUUGUUGUUGUUGUUGUAGGAUCGGGGUUCAUUUGCAGUCUUUUUUGUGGGUGAGCAGAGGCAGGGGCCAAUAAAUAAAUUAAGGCGGGAUAUUUGGAGUUAUUUGGUUGUAAUAAAAUAUGUGGUUCAACCCA
Molecule: long non-coding RNA, 1621 nt
Filed under: Homo sapiens (human)
Lineage: Eukaryota; Metazoa; Chordata; Mammalia; Primates; Hominidae
Description: LRRC8D divergent transcript (LRRC8D-DT)
Source: RNAcentral